UCAUGGGCUUCACUGUGCGGGCGUUCACAUGCAUAGUCGUCUGUCCGGCCGCCAGCACAAACACUUACACAUGCACGUUAAUUUGGUAGUACGACUAGCUAGCACAGCAUUAUUCGUGUGGGACGUGGACGUCGUCGGCACGUGCAGCUAGUGCAUUGCGCCCGAAGUUUUAUUCCAACGUCGGGACGACUCGGGGGUACACGAAUUUAUACGACGUUACAAUCCAUUUCAAUGCACGAGUACUGUGUCUUUCCGAGGGUUUGGAGUAAAUGAUAGUCGUAGAGAAAACAUAUGGUCAAAUAUCUCUAUUCACUAUUAGCCGUUAGGUUUCAUGAAUUUCACUUCAUAUAGGUUUCGAUCUGUCCAUUCUCAAAGAAUUUCCAAUGACUUGGAAAGUUCGUAAAGUGUCUUAGUCGAGUUUCGUAUGUUCAUUGCUUUAGAGAGUUCGUAGUGCUAGCCCUCUUUUGAUUCAAAAGAUUUCCGUAAGGAUUCUGUAGGCUUGAAAUAUUUAGGAUUUUUUCCUAGUUGAUGUUUGAUUCGUAGGGUUGAAUUCUCAAGAAUUUUUUUCUAAGGAUUCGUUUAUACUACAUUUGAUAGGAAAAUUUACAUCCACUCCAACCUCUUGGAUAAAAUCAUUUUCUCCAAUCAAACAAACUUUGGUUCAAACAAAAUCUUAUGAAGAUGAAGUAGACAUGACAUUGCAUCCUACAUUUUUGCAAUCCUAUGAAUCAAAGAGGGCCUGAGUCGUGAUAGAUUGAAAGCUGGGUGUGCUUCAGAAGUUCCAACUAAUAUCUCACGGUAAUCGCUCCCGAUAGAAAAAAAGAGGCCCCUGCCCUAGCCAUCGCCACCCAACACCAGAUCGAUCUCAUCUCUUGGUCAACCCGGCUGGCCGGCUAGGAACGACGUCCCUUCAUCCUAUACACUUCGUGCUAUCAUAGGUUAUAAAAAAUUAGGAUUUGGUCAACCGAAAGCGGCACUAUGGUGGUGAUGGUGACACUAUGCGGGUCAAGAAUAAGGUUUUCCCGAUUCCUCGUCCACCUCGUCGACGACGAUCUUGCCGGUGGCGUUAAGGAGUGCAGGACAGUUGGUCGCUGCUCUUCUGGAGUGGUCGAUCUGGUCUUGUGUUUGUGUUUUGCAGGUCGUCUGUGUGUAUCGGCUGAUUGGUUCCUGUUCAGAUCGGCGAGGCUCGGCCAGCUUCAACCUCAUCAUGGAGUUAGCAUGGUUAGGUCUUCUCGGAUCCGUCUAGCCGGAUUGGGGAUGGUCAUCCAACCCUCUUCAUCGUGUUUUUUUUUCCGAGACUUGUUUUUCAUAUCACUGUCGUCGGCGUCUUCUGACUCCGACUGACGACUUUCCAGCUACUACGUCAACGACGUUUUUCUAGGUCCGACAUUGUUCGGAGGUCCAGAGACAGCAUUGAACUUCGCUCACAGCGUGCCACCGGCGAGUACGGAGAAAGACAACGACUUACAAGAACUUGCGUGUAAUUUUUUUUACCUCAAAGAUGGUUCCAAAAGAGUUGGUUGAUUUAACGUAUGGCCUCGGUCUUUUGGGAGAAAAAAAAUUGAAAGCCGAGUGAAACAUCCAUCGGGGAAACUUGACGGACGGCUGUCAGUUAUGGUGUUAGCAAUUUGCAUUGACUGACGGCUGCAGGCGGAAGAGAAAAAAAAAAUCCGAUAAUCUCCGCCCCGCCGCCGACUCCUCCUGCCGGCGCCGCCUCCCUACUGCUCCCCUGCCUCCGCCUCACAUCCUCACUGCAACAGCAGCCGCCGAGUGCCCCCUUCCCGCCGCCGACUCUCCCGCCCCGCCGCUGCCUCGCUAGCGAUGGGAGUGGCGCACAUUGGGAGCGGGAGCCUGCUGCCGACGGCGCAGGUGGAGAUCCGGUCUAGGUCUCCUUGGAUGGGCCCGAACCACGCCAUCAUCAACACCAGAGCACUGCAAGUUUGUCGAUUCACGACCGGUCGGCAGAAAUUGAUUUGGAGACCCACGCCUUAGGUAAUAUAUUGGCUCACUUCGCUACUUGUGUAGGUCAUUUUCGUCGAUUGUACAAUCUAUUGGGUCUCCUUAUCAAGCUGCAAGUACAGAUUAAGACCUAUUAUACAAUAUAUUGUAAUAUGCCAGAGUGGAGAUGCUCUUGUACUGUCUCAUUUUUGCUUUGGAGCAGCAGCUACGUACAUACUGAACUCUAAUUUUUCU
Brachypodium distachyon (stiff brome) is the source of this 2193-nucleotide long non-coding RNA. RefSeq lists it as uncharacterized. Lineage: Eukaryota; Viridiplantae; Streptophyta; Magnoliopsida; Poales; Poaceae. The transcript has 2 exons. The record is from RefSeq and is a predicted model, not a curated record.